GCUUGGCCUUCACAUAAGUUUCGAUUCUUGUGAAAGCGAUAUUGAGGAGAUGCUGGGUGGUAGUCUUGCAGCCCUGUCGACGUCAACGUAACCAUAGCCAGGCAUUUAGCAGCCCUGGGCACCAGUUCUGUUCCUGCAGUCAGCUCCGCCAGCCAUGCUGCAGCCCUGUGCACCAUCUGUGUAUCUGCAGUCUGCAUUGCCAACCACAAUGAUGCAGCCCUGCAUGUUGACUAAUUCUGAAAGCAGUGAACCUGUUGCAGCUCUGUCGAUGGUGGUGCAGAUGCCUAUGCAUCACACUAGGCCAUUUGUUUCGAGAUGCAGGAAUGGUGGUGCAGUAAGGUACUCAGCCAUGUAUUGUGCCAUUAUUUGUACUCACAUGUUUGUGAUACACAUAAUGGCGGGUCCAGUUAUAUCCCACUUCCUGAAGAUAUUUUCACUAAACAUGCAUGCAUUAAUGUCCAGAAACUUGUGGAUAAUUAUUGCUUUGCAUGGUCACUUCUGGCUUGUGACAGAAAUUACCCUAAGCAUGCAUAUCACACAGGUACACAUAAAAAAGCUGAUGUCUGUGGGCACUAUAAUUUCCAGAGCAUCAAGUUCCCCACAAAACUAAAGGAUAUUCCAAAAUUUGAGAAGCAGAACCCUGAUUAGUCAGAUUAGUCAAUUUAUGUAUACACCCUGGCAGUUGAUGAGACAGAAGAUGACAAAGAUGACCAUGAGCACACUGUACAGAACAACACAGAAGUCAUGUGAAUAGCAGUUGGAUUCCUCUUCUUUUCCAAAUUAGCAGAUAAAUUCCCCAAACACAUAGACCUGUUGCUAAUCUCUGAGGGAGAUGAGCAGCACUAUGUUUGGAUCAAAAA
This is a long non-coding RNA of Schistocerca serialis cubense, 860 nucleotides long. RefSeq lists it as uncharacterized. The record is from RefSeq and is a predicted model, not a curated record. The transcript is spliced from 3 exons. Lineage: Eukaryota; Metazoa; Arthropoda; Insecta; Orthoptera; Acrididae.